UCGGUUUCAAAAUGGGUUACAAAGGAUAAUGUCGGGUGUAGGGUAGGUUGAACAAAGAAGAAAAUUGGUUUAAAAUGUGGCGUUGGGAUGGGUAAAUAAUGGUAGGAAGGGAAACUUGAUGAUCGGAGUAAUAAGUGAUAAUGAUAAAAACUCGCAAGACUUUUCACUUUUUUUUCUUUCUUUUUUUUUAACUCGAUUUUUUUGUCACUUCUUUUUUUUCCUUUUUUUUCGAUUUUUUUAAUUUUUUUUUCCGAAUUUCUUCUCUUUUUUUUAAAUCUAAUACAAUAGUAAACUAAAUACAAGAAAGAAAAAAAAUUAAAUUCCAACUCAAAUUUUUUUGAUUUUUUG
Molecule: long non-coding RNA, 348 nt
Filed under: Gossypium raimondii (Peruvian cotton)
Lineage: Eukaryota; Viridiplantae; Streptophyta; Magnoliopsida; Malvales; Malvaceae
Description: long non-coding RNA (GRAI_LNC008355)
Source: RNAcentral